Molecule: ribosomal RNA, 241 nt
Filed under: uncultured bacterium
Lineage: Bacteria
Description: partial 16S ribosomal RNA
Rfam family: Bacterial small subunit ribosomal RNA
Source: RNAcentral
CUAAGUGGCGGACGGGUGAGUAAUGUAUAGUUAAUCUGCCCUUUAGAGGGGGAUAACAGUUGGAAACGACUGCUAAUACCCCAUACUCCUUUUACAUUAAUUGUAAUUGGGAAACGUUUUUUCGCUAAAGGAUGAGACUAUAUGGUAUCAGGUAGUUGGUGGGGUAAGAGCCCACCAAACCAAUGACGCCUAGCUGGUCUGAGAGGAUGAUCAGCCACACUGGAACUGAGACACGGUCCAG